RNAcentral lists this ribosomal RNA (253 nucleotides) under uncultured bacterium. Its description in RNAcentral is "partial 16S ribosomal RNA". It matches the Rfam family "Bacterial small subunit ribosomal RNA", at positions 524 to 776 of the family's 1533-position model. The record is from RNAcentral.
UACAGAGGGUGCGAGCGUUGUUCGGAAUUAUUGGGCGUAAAGGGCGCGUAGGCGGUGCGGUAAGUCACCUGUGAAAUCUCCUGGCUCAACUGGGAGCUUGCAGGCGAAACUGCCGUGCUGGAGUGUGGGAGAGGUGCGUGGAAUUCCUGGUGUAGCGGUGAAAUGCGUAGAUAUCAGGAGGAACACCGGUGGCGAAGGCGGGUCUCUGGGCAACAACUGACGCUGAGGAGCGAAAGCGUGGGGGCGCAACAGG